Long non-coding RNA from Felis catus (domestic cat), 1353 nucleotides. RefSeq lists it as uncharacterized. The transcript has 4 exons. Lineage: Eukaryota; Metazoa; Chordata; Mammalia; Carnivora; Felidae. The record is from RefSeq and is a predicted model, not a curated record.
UUCAACAUAUGAAUUUUAAGGGACACAAACAUUCAAUCCAUUCCAAUACUCAAGGUAUUUUUUUAAUAGUGAAAUGGAAUAGGGGGAAAGAAAUGAGAUCAAAUGGCAGAGCAAGGCAUGGCAAGCAACAGAGUGGAAUGAGAGAACCAUAGUCCCACAGAUACCCUGAAAUGACCCCCUACACCUAGGAAGGAAGAUUGCCUGGGGCAAAAAAAAGUAGUUGCAUCAGAUCCAGCUGAUGACAGGCAUCUUCAUCACAGCAAAUGACUUCCCAAGUGCCCUUUGCAGGGCCUGUUGAAUGCAAACGCUGAGACAGCAACCACCUUUUACACCAUUUACAAGCUCCAGGAAGGCCCCUAGGCCCCCAAACAUCUCUAAUCCUGCCACUGGCCUGGGAUUUCCACCAAAAAAGAGCCUCAGCUUUCAAGCCUUGCCUCUGCCCCAAGACUGCUGUGAUAAUGCCAGCACAGUAGCACUUUCAAAUAUUAGCCACCGUUUUGGCCCCAAAUGAAAUUCAUUUAUCAGCUCACUUUCUAAUAUCACAGCCACCUUUGGGAAGGAGGACUGAAAUAGGCACACCUAGGUAUGGAACCUCAGGACAAGGAAUACAUAUGAGGACAAGGGGUCUUGGGGAGAGGCAUGAAAAAGCUCUAGAAGGGAGGAAGCAGCUAAAAGGUGAACACCUGGUUGCUGGCCAGGCCUGGACUCACCAUGUACUUUCUUGGAUCUCAGUGCAGGGAUGAAGGGUAGAAUGAUCCACAAGGAAGGAAAAUCCUAUGACUUCAGGGAAGAUAGCAAGGGAAACAGUUAAUAUGUACAACUGUUGUGGAGAAAAUGAAAUGUAAGCAGGAAUAAAACAGCAAAGGUCAAUUAGGACACUUUACGAAACCCAGAUGACACACGGUGAUGCUGCUGACCAGAGAGAGCAAUCAGGGUAGAGAUGGAAAAGCAGGCCAACCUGCCAUGAACUCUGCACAUUCAAGCCCAGUGACUUGGAGUCAGUGAGGUAAGCAGACAAAGGGGAAAUCACAGUUUGGGUCUAGAAGCUAGUGUGUUGGUUUGAGGAAGCAGGUAGGGAAGACACAGAGGAAAGGAAAUUAGGCAAGAAAAAACAAUAGAAAUCUGUUGUGGCCAUUUACGUUUGAGACUCCUAGGACACGUUAGUUGAGACACCAUGUGGAAGAGGAGAUACAAAAAUCUAGACUUAAGAGGGGAGCUGGGUCAAAGAUACACAUACAGGAAUUAUCAGAAUUCAAAUACUUUCCUUAAAUUUAUUCAUUUAAAUACAAAUUAGUUAACAUACACUAUAAUACUGGUUUCAGUAGUAGAACCCAAUGAUUCAUCACUUACAUA